GCCCGAAUGGUGGAAUAGGUAGACACAAGGGACUUAAAAUCCCUCGGCCUUAGGCUGUGCCGGUUCGAGUCCGGCUUCGGGCACCA
RNAcentral lists this transfer RNA (86 nucleotides) under Mesopusillimonas faecipullorum. RNAcentral describes it as "tRNA-Leu". It matches the Rfam family "tRNA". From Rfam's summary of the family: Transfer RNA (tRNA) molecules are approximately 80 nucleotides in length. Lineage: Bacteria; Pseudomonadati; Pseudomonadota; Betaproteobacteria; Burkholderiales; Alcaligenaceae. The record is from RNAcentral.